GACGAACGCUGGCGGCGUGCUUAACACAUGCAAGUCGAACGGAAAGGCCCUGCUUGCAGGGUGCUCGAGUGGCGAACGGGUGAGUAACACGUGGGUGAUCUGCCCCUUACUUUGGGAUAAGCCUGGGAAACUGGGUCUAAUACUGGAUAGGACCAUGCUGUAGGUGGCGUGGUGGAAAGAUUAGUUUCGGUAAGGGAUGAGCUCGCGGCCUAUCAGCUUGUUGGUGGGGUAAUGGCCUACCAAGGCGUCGACGGGUAGCCGGCCUGAGAGGGUGGACGGCCACAUUGGGACUGAGAUACGGCCCAGACUCCUACGGGAGGCAGCAGUGGGGAAUAUUGCACAAUGGGCGCAAGCCGGAUGCAGCGACGCCGCGUGGGGGAUGACGGCCUUCGGGUUGUAAACUCCUUUCAGCCAUGACGAAGCCCUUGUGGUGACGGUAGUGGUAGAAGAAGCACCGGCUAACUACGUG
This 469-nucleotide ribosomal RNA is filed under the name uncultured bacterium. Its description in RNAcentral is "partial 16S ribosomal RNA". It matches the Rfam family "Bacterial small subunit ribosomal RNA", at positions 28 to 507 of the family's 1533-position model. The record is from RNAcentral.